RNAcentral lists this unclassified non-coding RNA (240 nucleotides) under soil metagenome. Its description in RNAcentral is "partial contains 5.8S ribosomal RNA, internal transcribed spacer 2, and large subunit ribosomal RNA". The record is from RNAcentral.
AACCUAGCACACCUGCGGUGUGUACCUGCGGAGGGAUCAUUACCAGAGAGCCUUUUGGCACUCCAACCCAUUGUGAACAUACCUAUCGUUCCCUCGGCGGGCUCAGCGCGCGGGGCCUCCGGGCUUCCGGGCGUCCGCCGGGGACAACCAAACCCUGAUUUACUACGUGUAUCUCUGAGGGGCGAAAGCCCGAAAACAAAAUAAAUCAAAACUUUUAACAACGGAUCUCAGAUCGGAAGA